This 448-nucleotide long non-coding RNA is filed under the name Homo sapiens (human). Its description in RNAcentral is "HSALNT0103337". The record is from RNAcentral. Lineage: Eukaryota; Metazoa; Chordata; Mammalia; Primates; Hominidae.
UGUGUCAGAUCACGUUUGAGACGCUCACCAGGCGUACAAAGUGUUAGUUCCUUGCAUAGAUCGUGCCCCAGUCCACACACCUUCUCCCUUGCCCUCUCCUGAUUCCAGAGAGAAUCCCAUCUGAAAGAGGCUAUGUAUCCGACUGCAGCAUUCUCCCUCCUCCUCCCUACCCCGCCUCCUCUCUUUCAGAUCAGAGCUUCGGCGAUGGAAAAGCAGCUGUCGGUCCUGGCCGUGUAACCACCCCAGAUUUGCCAGACACACGCUGUCGCUCUGCAUUUCAGGCCAGGUUUUGUGAAUUCUGUAAGCUUCUGUUUUACAUCCUCCAGAAGAAGUUGAGGGAAAGGGGCAACUUGAAGAGGCAAGAAAAUGCUUCAUUCCUGGGGCUUUGUGAAUGGAAGUGCCCGCCAGGGAGUCGGUUGUGGAGCGGACCUUGGAGCAAGCUGACAGG